GAUGAACGCUGGCGGCGUGCCUAAUACAUGCAAGUCGAGCGAACAGACGAGGAGCUUGCUCCUCUGACGUUAGCGGCGGACGGGUGAGUAACACGUGGAUAACCUACCUAUAAGACUGGGAUAACUUCGGGAAACCGGAGCUAAUACCGGAUAAUAUAUUGAACCGCAUGGUUCAAUAGUGAAAGACGGUUUUGCUGUCACUUAUAGAUGGAUCCGCGCCGCUUUAGCUAGUUGGUAAGGUAACGGCUUACCAAGGCGACGAUGCGUAGCCGACCUGAGAGGGUGAUCGGCCACACUGGACCUGAGACACGGUCCAGACUCCUACGGGAGGCAGCAGUAGGGAAUCUUCCGCAAUGGGCGAAAGCCUGACGGAGCAACGCCGCGUGAGUGAUGAAGGUCUUCGGCUCGUAAAACUCUGUUAUUAGGGAAGAACAAAUGUGUAAGUAACUAUGCACGUCUUGACGGUACCUAAUCAGAAAGCCACGGCUAACUACGU
RNAcentral lists this ribosomal RNA (496 nucleotides) under uncultured bacterium. Its description in RNAcentral is "partial 16S ribosomal RNA". It matches the Rfam family "Bacterial small subunit ribosomal RNA", at positions 28 to 506 of the family's 1533-position model. The record is from RNAcentral.